RNAcentral lists this long non-coding RNA (913 nucleotides) under Capsella rubella. Its description in RNAcentral is "long non-coding RNA (CRUB_LNC002018)". Lineage: Eukaryota; Viridiplantae; Streptophyta; Magnoliopsida; Brassicales; Brassicaceae. The record is from RNAcentral.
CAACACUAGAAUUUGAGAUUUUUCGUAUUUUUGAUUGUUUUGUUUUUGUUUGUUCAGUUUGAAGUUUUUGGGGAGUUUUUGUAAUUUGGAUCUGGAAACUUUUUUUUUUCUGUGUUGUUGUCUGUCUUUGACAGCUUAAGAGAGAAAAAUAAAUAAAUAAAAGGGCAAAGAGAACCUCUCCUCUGUGUGUGUACGAACGGCUUGAGAGAUGAUGAGAGAGAUUCUUUAAAUAGAGGCUGAGAAAAGAUGCUUUGUUCUAAUCAACGACGGAGAUGACACCCGUUAAACCGACGGCUACGAUCUGUUUUUUCUUUCUUUUCUUUUAAAGGUUGAGUCGGUUACGGGUUUCUUUGAUAUUUUUUAUUUUUUAUUAUUUAGUUUUGAAAUAAAUUGUAAAUCAAGAAUUUGGCAAAUAUAAUUUCACUCGUUUUUUUGUUGGUAAUUUUAAAAUCUAAGAUCUAAUUAUGAUAUUAUUAUUUUUUAUCUACAAUGUUAUUAUUUAGGUAAUUAUAUAUAUAUAUAUUUUUAAAUGAUGGUAUGUUUGACUUAACAAAAAAAAAACAAAUAAUAAUGAGAUGACAAAAAAAAAAAAAACAAAUAAUAAUGAUGAUAUAAUUAUUUAAAAGAAGGUAGAAUAGUAUAGAAGAAAUGGACCAUUUCCAAAAUUUGGGCUAUUGAGUACAUUCUCGUCUAAUCAAAGUCGUCUCUAAUCUAUAACGCAUUCGUGUUCUUGUCCUUGUUACAUCAUUGGUUAUGUUAUUUUCUUCUUCUUUCUCCUCUUUCUUCUUCAGGUCAUCUGCAUAUGCAUCUAACAUCUAUCAGGUUACGACUAUUCAUAUAAAGACGACUCAAUCAUGCAAACACAGCCAAGCCUAACCUGAGUUUGGGCAUGAGUUACGAGCUUACGUAUCCU